This 236-nucleotide long non-coding RNA is filed under the name Homo sapiens (human). RNAcentral's name for it is "HSALNT0172305". Lineage: Eukaryota; Metazoa; Chordata; Mammalia; Primates; Hominidae. The record is from RNAcentral.
AAUCUAGAAAAUCCCAGUUGUAUGCUCCUGAGUUUAAAGGGCUAAGUUUGAUUUGUUCUCCCAGAACAAAUGGGCUCUAUUUACCUGAAUUGCACACAGGCAGCCUCAUAAAACUGGACUUCCAGUUAAAACAGAUAUAACCCCUGGGCCAUCUCGAUUAUGUUCUGGAGCACGACGUUCUUUCUUCUGUAGGAUGAAGUGUAACAGGCCUUCAGUAAAGGUUGAAGACAAGGACU